Molecule: small RNA, 28 nt
Filed under: Bombyx mori (domestic silkworm)
Lineage: Eukaryota; Metazoa; Arthropoda; Insecta; Lepidoptera; Bombycidae
Description: ovarian small RNA-37541
Source: RNAcentral
UUCUGGUCGGUCUUCCAAAGCAGGAGAA